This 638-nucleotide ribosomal RNA is filed under the name uncultured Tomentella. RNAcentral's name for it is "eukaryotic LSU rRNA". The stretch from base 214 to 368 matches the Rfam family "5.8S ribosomal RNA". Lineage: Eukaryota; Fungi; Basidiomycota; Agaricomycetes; Thelephorales; Thelephoraceae. The record is from RNAcentral.
GAAGGAUCAUUACUGAACUGUCAACACGAGUUGUUGCUGGUCCUCAAACGGGGGCAUGUGCACACUCUGUUUACACAUCCACUCACACCUGUGCAUCCUCUGUAGUUCCAUGGUAUGGGGGACACUGUCCUCCUGCUGUGGUUCUAUGUCUUUACACACACACCGUUAUAAAGUCUCAUGGCAUGUUAUAUAGCGUUUAACGCAAUACAAUACAACUUUCAGCAACGGAUCUCUUGGCUCUCGCAUCGAUGAAGAACGCAGCGAAAUGCGAUAAGUAGUGUGAAUUGCAGAAUUCAGUGAAUCAUCGAAUCUUUGAACGCACCUUGCGCCCUUUGGCUAUUCCGAAGGGCAUGCCUGUUUGAGUAUCAUGAACACCUCAACCCUCAUGGUUUGCCAUGAUGGGCUUGGACUUUGGGGGUCUUGCUGGAUUGUAGUCAGCUCCCCUUAAAUGAAUCAGCUUGCCAGUGUUUGGUGGCAUCACAGGUGUGAUAACUAUCUACGCUUGUGGUUUUACAUCAGAUAACCUUCAGUGAUGGAGGUUCGCUGGAGCUCAUAAAGGUGUCUCUCCUCUGUGAGGGACAGCUCUUUGAACGUUUGAUCUCAAAUCAGGCAGGACUACCCGCUGAACUUAGCAUAUC